UACGUAGGGUGCGAGCGUUAAUCGGAAUUACUGGGCGUAAAGCGUGCGCAGGCGGUUAUGUAAGACAGUUGUGAAAUCCCCGGGCUCAACCUGGGAAUUGCAUUGGAAACUGGCUUGCUAGAGUGUGGCAGAGGGGGAUGGAAUUCCGCGUGUAGCAGUGAAAUGCGUAGAUAUGCGGAGGAACACCGAUGGCGAAGGCAAUCCCCUGGGCCUGCACUGACGCUCAUGCACGAAAGCGUGGGGAGCAAACAGG
Molecule: ribosomal RNA, 253 nt
Filed under: uncultured bacterium
Lineage: Bacteria
Description: partial 16S ribosomal RNA
Rfam family: Bacterial small subunit ribosomal RNA
Source: RNAcentral